CCACCUCCAGUAGCAUAUAUUAAAGUUGUUGCAGUUAAAAGGCUCGUAGUUUGAUUUCUGGCAGGGUGACUUUGCCCUCAUGUUGAGUGUGCUGAGCAGCCCUACCAUCCUUCUGUUAACCCAUCGGAGCUUAAUAACUUUGUUGGUCUGAGGGGUUCAAGUAAUGAUUAAUAGGGAUAGUUGGGGGCAUUAGUACUUAACUGUCAGAGGUGAAAUUGUCAGAUUUGUUAAAGACUAACUUAUGCGAAAGCAUUUGUCAAGGAUGUUUUCA
RNAcentral lists this ribosomal RNA (271 nucleotides) under uncultured Choreotrichia. Its description in RNAcentral is "partial small subunit ribosomal RNA". It matches the Rfam family "Eukaryotic small subunit ribosomal RNA", at positions 585 to 972 of the family's 1831-position model. The record is from RNAcentral. Lineage: Eukaryota; Ciliophora; Spirotrichea.